Molecule: long non-coding RNA, 648 nt
Organism: Rhipicephalus sanguineus (brown dog tick)
Lineage: Eukaryota; Metazoa; Arthropoda; Arachnida; Ixodida; Ixodidae
Exons: 3
Source: RefSeq, a predicted model, not a curated record
GCUCUUGCUGCGGCUGCAAGGCCAAACAUGGAACCACGCAUGCUUGGUGCUUUGCACAUGUUGGAAGCUGCCAACUCUUUUACGGAACUGCAAUUCCAUGGUAUGUCAUUUAUGCGGUAUACAUCAUUAUGUUGAUGUCAUGCAAUGUUUCCAGUUUUUACCUUGUUUUGUUGUAUAGUCAUUGUGCUAUGGCCAAAUGCCUGUGGCUCUUGCUGCGGCUGCAUGGCCACACAUGGAACCGAGCAUGCUUGGUAUGUCAUUCUGAUGUCUUAUAGCAUGUUGCUGUAGUUUAUUUACAUUUACUCGUUAAAUUGAGAAUUCUUUGCCCACUUCAGGUGUUUUGAGCCUGCCUGUCUGUCUCUUAUCUAUUUUAUCUCUGUCUGCCUGUCUGUGUAACUCUAGAUGUUAACUUGUGGUGUCAAUUAUGUUCAGAUUCACCACCAUACAGUCCAGGACCCGCAUAUGUGACCGGGGCUACAAGGUCACAAACAGACCCACAAGUGCUCGCCUUCAUGGAAAGGAUACUACAAGUGUUAAAUAGCAUGAAGCACACCCAGCAAGCCCAUUUGCAAUAUUUCAACGAGCUGCUAAGUAAUGCCGACAGUGCAGCUCCGCACCCUCAUGGCCUCCCAGUCCUGCCUUUCUCGA